This 985-nucleotide ribosomal RNA is filed under the name Salmonella enterica. Its description in RNAcentral is "partial 23S ribosomal RNA". It matches the Rfam family "Bacterial large subunit ribosomal RNA", at positions 711 to 1610 of the family's 2925-position model. RNAcentral also lists the same sequence under 1 other name. The record is from RNAcentral. Lineage: Bacteria; Pseudomonadati; Pseudomonadota; Gammaproteobacteria; Enterobacterales; Enterobacteriaceae.
AGACCCGAAACCCGGUGAUCUAGCCAUGGGCAGGUUGAAGGUUGGGUAACACUAACUGGAGGACCGAACCGACUAAUGUUGAAAAAUUAGCGGAUGACCUGUGGCUGGGGGUGAAAGGCCAAUCAAACCGGGAGAUAGCUGGUUCUCCCCGAAAGCUAUUUAGGUAGCGCCUCGUGAAUUCAUCUCCGGGGGUAGAGCACUGUUUCGGCUAGGGGGCCAUCCCGGCUUACCAACCCGAUGCAAACUGCGAAUACCGGAGAAUGUUAUCACGGGAGACACACGGCGGGUGCUAACGUCCGUCGUGAAGAGGGAAACAACCCAGACCGCCAGCUAAGGUCCCAAAGUCAUGGUUAAGUGGGAAACGAUGUGGGAAGGCCCAGACAGCCAGGAUGUUGGCUUAGAAGCAGCCAUCAUUUAAAGAAAGCGUAAUAGCUCACUGGUCGAGUCGGCCUGCGCGGAAGAUGUAACGGGGCUAAACCAUGCACCGAAGCUGCGGCAGCGAACGUAUCACCCAAGACAACUUUACGGAGUUGACGAUUGACGGAGCGAAGCGACGUCAAAGCGUUCAUUAAAGUCGAGUUGGCUUAGGGAUACGUUCGUUGGGUAGGGGAGCGUUCUGUAAGCCUGUGAAGGUGUGUCGUGAGGCAUGCUGGAGGUAUCAGAAGUGCGAAUGCUGACAUAAGUAACGAUAAAGCGGGUGAAAAGCCCGCUCGCCGGAAGACCAAGGGUUCCUGUCCAACGUUAAUCGGGGCAGGGUGAGUCGACCCCUAAGGCGAGGCCGAAAGGCGUAGUCGAUGGGAAACGGGUUAAUAUUCCCGUACUUGGUGUUACUGCGAAGGGGGGACGGAGAAGGCUAUGUUGGCCGGGCGACGGUUGUCCCGGUUUAAGCGUGUAGGUGUGUGUUCCAGGUAAAUCCGGUUCACUUUAACACUGAGGCGUGAUGACGAGGCACUACGGUGCUGAAGCAACAAAUGCCCUGCUUCCA